CAAGCAAAGCUAGGUAGAGGCCAGGCCAUAGAUCGAGAUCGAUCUGCAGGUGCAGUGCGGUGGGUGGGCAUGGCGACGAAAGCUGGGGUGAUCGCCACGCUCCUGGCCCUGAACCUCCACUUCUUCACCUUCUCCGACGCGUGCGGCUGCCAGUGCGGCUCAUGCCCUAGUCCCGGCGGAGGAGGCGGUGGCGGUGGCGGUGGCGGUGGCGGUGGUGGAGGGCGUGGAGGUGGUGGCGGGAGCGGCGGAGGUUCAGGUGGAGGCGGCGGUUCAGGUGGAGGAGGAAGCGGCGGCGGAGGUUCAGGCGGUGGAGGAAGCGGAGGCGGCGGAGGAGGAGGAAGCGGCGGCGGCGGGGGAGGAGGAAGAUGCCCGAUCGACACGCUGAAGCUGGGGGUGUGCGCGAACGUGCUGAAUGGGCUGAUAAACGUGCAGCUGGGGACGCCGCCGCGGCAGCCGUGUUGCAGCCUCAUCCAGGGCCUCGCCGACCUUGAGGCCGCCGUGUGCCUCUGCACCGCCCUCCGCGCCAACAUCCUUGGCAUCAACCUCAACCUCCCCAUCAACCUCAGCCUCCUCGUCAACUACUGCGGCCGCUCCGUCCCCUCCGGCUUCCAGUGCAGCAACUAAUAUAGCUGCUGCUCCAUUCUACUUCACUGCUUGCUACACACAAGAACGUACGAAGAACGACCACCAGGCCACGUACAAC
Molecule: long non-coding RNA, 703 nt
Filed under: Oryza sativa (Asian cultivated rice)
Lineage: Eukaryota; Viridiplantae; Streptophyta; Magnoliopsida; Poales; Poaceae
Description: long non-coding RNA (OSAT_LNC000479)
Source: RNAcentral